UACAGAGGGUGCAAGCGUUAUUCGGAAUUAUUGGGCGUAAAGAGCACGUAGGCGGCUAUGUAAGUCUGAUGUGAAAUCCCUGGACUCAAUCCAGGAAGUGCAUCGGGUACUGCAUGGCUAGAGGAGAGGAGAGGAGAGCGGAAUUCCUGGUGUAGAGGUGAAAUUCGUAGAUAUCAGGAGGAACAACAGAAGCGAAGGCGGCUCUCUGGACUCUAUCUGACGCUGAGGUGCGAAAGCGUGGGGAGCAAACAGGAUUAGAAACCCCAGUAGU
Molecule: ribosomal RNA, 271 nt
Filed under: uncultured bacterium
Lineage: Bacteria
Description: partial 16S ribosomal RNA
Rfam family: Bacterial small subunit ribosomal RNA
Source: RNAcentral